Long non-coding RNA from Etheostoma spectabile (orangethroat darter), 118 nucleotides. RefSeq lists it as uncharacterized. The record is from RefSeq and is a predicted model, not a curated record. NCBI's taxonomy places the organism in Eukaryota, Metazoa, Chordata, Actinopteri, Perciformes, Percidae. The transcript has 3 exons.
UUGAUGUGAUUUUAUACCCGUGCUUGACUGUACUAGCCGAGAGCUGAAUGUGUGGUAAGGUCUUCAUAGCUGGCAGGGUGUUUUGUGGAACUGGUGUGAGGACACCGCCUUUUAAGGU